GAUACUAUCUGGACAGGAACUGUCCUGCCCUAGCUACAUGGGGACCAGAUUCACAAAUGAUAUGACCUCAGUCCUCUGAUACUUGGACUCCAGCACACCCCAUUAGACCUCCUCGGGCCUCUUUACACUUGCUCUGUGUAAAGUAGGUGCCUGGAACUUGCGCCACCUUUUUAGUUUCUCAGCGUAUAUGUUCCAUUGCUGUUAGCAUCCUGCCAUCAUUGGUAAAGCAAGUUCUCAGUUCUCAGCAAGUCUAAUGGAAACACACUGAGUGUAGCUUACACCUCACUUCUGAACUUGGCCCAUGGCAGGGGCAUGCACAGAUGCUUCAGACACUGCAGCUAGAAAGCAGCUCUCUGUAGAGGGGUAGACGGUCAGGCAACCGCACCUGAGAGAGGCUCUUUGCAAGGAGAUGGAAAAAGAAUGAUGCCUGUAUUCAGGACACAAAGAAAAGCAGAAAACCACAUGAUACAAGACAGAUGUACCAAUUUGUUUCUGUGAGAUUUGUUACAGGAGGCGAAAUGAGCAGUAGCAGACGGUACACCCAGAAGAAUACUAAAGAAAUGCUUCAGAUAAGUUUCUUUUUUUAAAAUUCAUGUACAUCUCUUUAUCCUCAACUUCAGUAUGUCAGCUGCCCAUAUUCGCCUUAUGUAAUAGUCUUCAACUUUCUGCAGAAAGAAGCCAACGUUAGAAUAGCUACAAGCUGCCCUGCAGCCAUUUCCCUGGAACUGUUUCACCUUUCUUCAACAACAAAACCCCCCAAGGAGCUCAAACAAGGGCUAAGACACAAACCAACAAAAGUAGGAAUACUCUGAGUUAGGAGAAGGACUCUGAGAUGCUGUGUUCGACAGAAGAUAUGACCCUUGAGAUAACGCAUGAAGAAUACUGGCACCAAAGGGCACCUCAGUGAAAUGGGGACAUGCAAUGUCUCACAAGACUUCCACAAGCAAAAAAUUUUGGUACAGUAUCUGAUUUAUGAAAGUAUUUGGGGGAUAUAAUUUAAAUACACAAGGUCCAGAUCCUCCACUGGUAUAAACUGGCAGCUGAGGAUCUAACCCUCAAAAUAUAGUAGUGACCACUAAUACAUAUUUUCUGAAAAAAACAUUUUUAAUAUACUGUGAUAUUUGCAGUAUUUUAAUGUACUGUAAACAUCCUAGACUAAAACAUCUGGGUGCCAUCAAUGUGGAGUUGGGGUGGCAACUGGUAUAUGUGCUACCACGUAAGAGAGACUGAUUUAUGGAGCAUUACAAAAUAUCAUCAUCACGGGAAGUCACUUUUCCUCUCAGAUGUUCCAAUCAGAAAUUUUGGGCAUGGAUAAAUCAACCAUGGAUGAGUGGAUUUUGUUCAAAAGUAGUUUGCUAAGAAACUUUCCUGAAGAUCUAACAAACAUUCCAAGUUUGAAGGAAAGUGUUUUAAUUGUUCUCAAGUUAUGAGCACUGAAAGCUUUUUCACACAUUCACAGCAGGAUUUCCAGGAAGCUAUCUUUGCUCUAUCAAUGGCUUAGAAAAUCAGCACACAUACGUACAGCAGUCUUUAAAGUUUGUUUUAUGUUCUCAGACAUGCAGAGAUGAGAAAUUAAGAACUGAAACUGAGAAAUGCACAGUAAAGCUGAAGAUUAAUCCUUAACUCUGCCCUCCUGUGAUUAUUCCUUAAAAUAUGGUCUCUCUAUAUCUAUCAGAAUAAAUUAUAUGUAAAAUAAUAUAAAGUAUAAUGGAAUACAAAAUGGAAUUUCUUAUAUAACCACUACUCACAGUAUAGAACAUACAGUUUUCAGAACUGGCUUGAUUUAAGUCUCAAUGAGAUCUAUAAAACAAGUCCACUUUGAAUGUUGAGGUUAUAUUAGGUAUCAGUUAUCAUGAUAAAAGGGUGACCAUAUUUUAAAGCAGAAAUAGGCAGAAGUAUCAUUGAGCUUUUACCAUGACUCUGUAUUAGCUGAUAUCUGAGUGCUUAUCUACCUUAAAACUGCCUUACAUCUAGUUAAUUGCAAGAUUUAAAUAUGAAAGUCUAAAUCCUGCCCCGUUAUAUCUGAAAUUAGAGUUUUGACUCCCUCUUUGAGACUUAGGCUUUAUUCUAAAAUGUCCCCUUCCUGACUUUAUAGGUUAGCCUGAGAUAAGUGAGAGCAAAAUUUGACCCACAGAGUGAUGAAGAGAGUUUGUGUGUAAACACACGUGAGAAUGCCCGCAUGCCCGCACACACAGAGCAAUCCUAAACCAUUCACCAUUACCAAGCCAUGUUUCUUCAGUUAAAAAACCAAGCACACAUACACUGAAAUCCAUUCCCCACACGGAGAGCAAGCGUAAUUAUUUCUCCCUAUGCAAAACAUUAAUAGCAUCAUUUGUUUUCUGCUGAAUACCAUGGGUAGAAGCUGAAGGAAAGCGGGAUCUGCUGCAAGUCCAAAUGUCAAGGAAAUAAAUGGCAUUAGGAUAUAAACCAUAGGAAGCUUUAUGAGUUAUCCAGCAGGGAAGAUAAAGUGAAUUCAUAGUUCAAAGGAUUAAAAAAAAAACGCUUCCAUUUUUUACUCCUUUCUGGUUAUUAAGGUCCCUGCUACAUCCAACUAGUGACUAAAACAGCGACUUGUGUGUCCCUGCCUGUGGUGACAGUACUACCAGCUGCCCUGUGGGUUCUUUCCCCCCCCGGCAUACUAAUACAAUGUACAAACCACUUAAGAUUCCCAGGGGGCAAUUUCAUGAUUGCCGAGGAAAAUGAACUGCUUAGGAUCACCAGCUAGCAACAUUCAAGUUAUGUACCUUCACUUAAAACAAAGCGAAUGAUACACAUAUUCAGUGAAAGACA
Long non-coding RNA from Chelonia mydas (Green sea turtle), 2790 nucleotides. RefSeq lists it as uncharacterized. NCBI's taxonomy places the organism in Eukaryota, Metazoa, Chordata, Testudines, Cheloniidae. The record is from RefSeq and is a predicted model, not a curated record. The transcript has 3 exons.